Hyposmocoma kahamanoa is the source of this 975-nucleotide RNA transcript. RefSeq lists it as uncharacterized. The record is from RefSeq and is a predicted model, not a curated record. The transcript has 2 exons. Lineage: Eukaryota; Metazoa; Arthropoda; Insecta; Lepidoptera; Cosmopterigidae.
AUAUUUUUUGGCAUACAAUGAUUUCUAGAAGAAAAUCCAAAUUUAAGACAAGACCGAAAGCAGCCAGUAGCAAUACGGAUAGUCAAAGUCCAGCCGUGAUUGCUGAGGAAUGGACUAAAGAUGAAAAAUUUUUUCUAUACCAAGCUCUAAAAGAUUUUGGAUCUUACGAUAUUGAUGCAAUUUGUCAAGCUAUACCAUCGAAAUCUAAGGAACAGGUAGCACAGGCCGUGAAUCACUACAAAAAAAGAGCAUUCAAGCAGCAUGAGGGAAAACCAGAGGGGAAGAGGAAAACACAAGUGCGUCACACCCGUGUUCCAUUACUGUCAUGGGCCCAGCUGCUCAUAGACAGUUCCAAUUUUGAAGAUCUCAAAACCGACAGUGCAAAUGCUCUCCGACUAAUAGCUAAGUUUGAGAAUAUUCCUGCAACAAUAUGCACAGAGAACAUUGAUUUUCGACACCUGUACCAUGUUGUAGCAAAUGCUAUGGAAGGCAAAGCUCUUCAAGAGGAUUACACUAUAGCUUUGGUACUAGAUAAGUGUUUUACUGAAGCAGUUUUAGUAUCCAAAGCUUUUAUGAGAAACACAACUUUAAUCAGCAUUAUGGAAAAUUAUCUUAAAGCUGCCAAUACAGCUCAUAAAGAGAUAACCACAGUUUAUAAGCCUGGUAUUGAACCAGCAGAAGCAGCAAUUAGGCAUUUAGCUACUAAGAAUAAUUACAACCCAUUUAGUAUUGCAGAGAGUAAUUUAAAAUUGGAAUAAAACAGUAAGUGUAACCCCUUAUGCAUAGGGUUACCAUUCUAUUUUUUUUAUUUUAUUAUUAGGAAUAACAGUCAACUUAAAUAUUGUUCUUUUAGGCUAAAAUAGUUAUCCACAAUGACAUACAUUAUUGAAGCUUUACAAAUGAACAGAACAAAACAAAUUUAGUAGUGGGCUUAGAGAAUUUGAAUUUGAAGUCACAACAAAAAGUAAAUGUCAA